GUGCUUAUUUCAGCAGCACAUAUGUUAAAAUUAAAAUAUUAAAGAAAAGAUUAACUUGACUCCUGCGUAAAGGUGAUAUGCAAAUAUGUGGAUUUCUAUAUUUUU
This is a small nuclear RNA of Dromiciops gliroides (monito del monte), 105 nucleotides long. Lineage: Eukaryota; Metazoa; Chordata; Mammalia; Microbiotheria; Microbiotheriidae. The record is from RefSeq and is a predicted model, not a curated record.